GAUGAACGCUGGCGGCGUGCCUAAUACAUGCAAGUCGAGCGAACAGAUGAGGAGCUUGCUCCUCUGACGUUAGCGGCGGACGGGUGAGUAACACGUGGAUAACCUACCUAUAAGACUGGGAUAACUUCGGGAAACCGGAGCUAAUACCGGAUAAUAUAUUGAACCGCAUGGUUCAAUAGUGAAAGACGGUUUUGCUGUCACUUAUAGAUGGAUCCGCGCCGCAUUAGCUAGUUGGUAAGGUAACGGCUUACCAAGGCAACGAUGCGUAGCCGACCUGAGAGAGUGAUCGGCCACACUGGAACUGAGACACGGUCCAGACUCCUACGGGAGGCAGCAGUAGGGAAUCUUCCGCAAUGGGAGAAAGCCUGACGGAGCAACGCCGCGUGAGUGAUGAAGGUCUUCGGAUCGUAAAACUCUGUUAUUAGGGAAGAACAAAUGUGUAAGUAACUAUGCACGUCUUGACGGUACCUAAUCAGAAAGCCACGGCUAACUACGUG
This 497-nucleotide ribosomal RNA is filed under the name uncultured bacterium. RNAcentral describes it as "partial 16S ribosomal RNA". It matches the Rfam family "Bacterial small subunit ribosomal RNA", at positions 28 to 507 of the family's 1533-position model. The record is from RNAcentral.